RNAcentral lists this ribosomal RNA (881 nucleotides) under Neonectria ditissima. RNAcentral's name for it is "partial large subunit ribosomal RNA". It matches the Rfam family "Eukaryotic large subunit ribosomal RNA", at positions 21 to 935 of the family's 3401-position model. Lineage: Eukaryota; Fungi; Ascomycota; Sordariomycetes; Hypocreales; Nectriaceae. The record is from RNAcentral.
UUACCCGCUGAACUUAGCAUAUCAAUAAGCGGAGGAAAAGAAACCAACAGGGAUUGCCCUAGUAACGGCGAGUGAAGCGGCAACAGCUCAAAUUUGAAAUCUGGCCCCCGGGUCCGAGUUGUAAUUUGUAGAGGAUGCUUUUGGUGCGGUACCUUCCGAGUGCCCUGGAACGGGACGCCAUAGAGGGUGAGAGCCCCGUCUGGUUGGACGCCAAUCCUUUGUAAAGCUCCUUCAACGAGUCGAGUAGUUUGGGAAUGCUGCUCUAAAUGGGAGGUAUAUGUCUUCUAAAGCUAAAUAUUGGCCAGAGACCGAUAGCGCACAAGUAGAGUGAUCGAAAGAUGAAAAGCACUUUGAAAAGAGAGUUAAAAAGUACGUGAAAUUGUUGAAAGGGAAGCGCUCAUGACCAGACUUGGGCUUGGUUGAUCAUCCAGGGUUCUCCCUGGUGCACUCUUCCGGCCCAGGCCAGCAUCAGUUCGCUGUGGGGGAUAAAGGCUUCGGGAAUGUGGCUCCCUCGGGAGUGUUAUAGCCCGUCGUGUAAUACCCUGUGGCGGACUGAGGUUCGCGCAUUCGCAAGGAUGCUGGCGUAAUGGUCAUCAGCGACCCGUCUUGAAACACGGACCAAGGAGUCGUCUUCGUAUGCGAGUGUUCGGGUGUCAAACCCCUACGCGUAAUGAAAGUGAACGCAGGUGAGAGCUUCGGCGCAUCAUCGACCGAUCCUGAUGUUCUCGGAUGGAUUUGAGUAAGAGCAUACGGGGCCGGACCCGAAAGAAGGUGAACUAUGCCUGUAUAGGGUGAAGCCAGAGGAAACUCUGGUGGAGGCUCGCAGCGGUUCUGACGUGCAAAUCGAUCGUCAAAUAUGGGCAUGGGGGCGAAAGACUAAU